CUUUUAUAUGGUUUUAUAAGGGAAGCUGAGCAAGCCUGUCGCCAUUAUCACGAAGACCAGUAAUGACAGUAUAUUGACAGGAAAAAAACAGAUAAAUAAUAAAAUGCCUUUGGUUAGGAAAAGAGGCAGACAUUAUGCCCAUGUUACAUAUGAAAGAGGUACAGAUGCCCUUAAAGUUUUUGAUGAAGUAAAGAGCAAGAUACUGUCCCAUCUGGCAGCAAUACUGUAUGACACUGUAUGACCAAUUCACAGACAAAUUGACAAAGAAUAACAAUAGAACACCAACAAUUCACAUAUGAGACGAUGUUUUAUGGUGAAUGGUUAUAGUAAUUUAGACAAGCAAAACAUGCAUUAAAGACUGUCAGUGUUGCUUGGAUUUUCUCCAUAUGAUGGAUUCUAUAGUCAGAGGGGAGAUGUGAAAAAAUCUUUAUUAAAGUCAAGUUACAUUAAAUGGGCUAUGUCACAGAUUUCAGUCAAAUUUUGCAUAUAUAGAACUCUGGCUCUAGUGGAAACCGAAAAAGUUAUGCAUUUAUCUCAUUUAUCAUUUGAAAUAUUUACUGAUUGAAAUCUUUCAAUAUGAGUGAACAUUUGUAUAGAAAGCCCUUAAAAUCGGCAAAAAUCAUCCAAAAUCUGUCUUAAAAUUCAUCAAAUCUCUAAUUCUUCUCCAUAGAUUUUUUUUUUAAAACUAUAUGACGUUGAUACAUAAAUUUCAGUUUUGAUUUUGCAAAACAAAUAUAAAUAAGGUCACGGAACAAAAAACAAAUACCGGUAUGUAACACAUAAACAAAUGACAACCACUGAAUUACAGGCACCUGACUUGGGACAGGCAACUACAAAGAGAAUGUGGAGGGGUUAAACAUGUUAGCAGAAUUCAAACCCUCCCCUAAUCUGGGACAGUGGUAUAAUAGUCCAUUUACUGUUCCUUGACCUUAAAUUAGAUUGAUAAUUCAAAUUGAAAACUCAAUUUUAGCACUGACCUUAAAAUAGAUUGAUAAUUCAAAUUGAAAAACUCAAUUUUAGCACUAACAGGUUGUUUUGCAUUUUAUUUAUUAAAAAUGUUAUAAUAGCCAUGAAACAAUGAUUUUAU
Long non-coding RNA from Mytilus trossulus (common blue mussel), 1087 nucleotides. RefSeq lists it as uncharacterized. Lineage: Eukaryota; Metazoa; Mollusca; Bivalvia; Mytilida; Mytilidae. The record is from RefSeq and is a predicted model, not a curated record. The transcript is spliced from 5 exons.